CUUUGGAGGAAGGGGUUUCUUUCGGCCUCCAGCAGCAUUCGACCGAACUGUAGGCCGGCGGAAACUACUUGCCUCCGUCG
This 80-nucleotide microRNA precursor is filed under the name Anopheles sinensis. RNAcentral describes it as "mir-2796 microRNA precursor family". It matches the Rfam family "mir-2796 microRNA precursor family". Lineage: Eukaryota; Metazoa; Arthropoda; Insecta; Diptera; Culicidae. The record is from Rfam by way of RNAcentral.